UCAGGUGUCGCAAGACUCAAUAGAGAAGCCGGUAAUUUUGAAGUCUUUGAAGUCCGGUGCGGUCCCGCCACUGUAUCAGCGAGUGCCCUGCAAACAUGUCACUGGGGAUGGCAAAGCAUCUCUGGGAAGGCGCAGACGCACGAUGACCUGGAGCCAGGAGAACUGCCUGAUCAUC
RNAcentral lists this non-coding RNA (175 nucleotides) under uncultured Selenomonas sp. Lineage: Bacteria; Bacillati; Bacillota; Negativicutes; Selenomonadales; Selenomonadaceae. The record is from RNAcentral.